GAUCGGCUGGACCUUCGGAUCUCCCCGAUAUGAACCUUCCCGUGCUUUUUAGAACAUAGAUGGCACCAGUCAGGUGACCAUCGAAACGUAAUACGCCGCGAUGACUUCGGUCACGACGGUAUGGCGAGCUUUCGCCGUCCACGUUUCUCUUUCUUCAAGAAGACAAAAAACCGCGUCGAUCCAGUUUAGGCUGGGCCGGUUCCCCGAAUGGGCCCGUAGCUCAGUUGGUUAGAGCACACGCUUGAUAAGCGUGGGGUCGGAAGUUCAAGUCUUCCCGGGCCCACCAUUCGCAUAUGCGAAUGAGGGUUAGGGAUGAUGGAAUGUGGCUGAUGCGGAACGUUGCCGAACCUGGUUUAUACCGGGUGAUCGAGCUGGAGGGGCUGUAGCUCAGCUGGGAGAGCACCUGCUUUGCAAGCAGGGGGUCAGCGGUUCGAUCCCGCUCAGCUCCACCAAAUCGAUUGGUGUUGAAGCUGACGGUAACGAAGCGAAAGCUUCGCAAGCGCAAGGCGCGUCGCCAAUCGUUUGGCGCCCCCGCGGAGCGCCUUCGGCGCGUGAGCGACAAAUUUGUCUUUUGAAGAAAUAAAAGUUUUGCAUCGGCUUAUGGCUGAUGCGUGUUCUGCAUACAUUGUGAAGAGAAGAUUGAUCUGGAGGCUUCCAGGUGUUUUGGGUUCUGCCCAAGGCGUCCGAGCCCAGUUCCUGUGAACCCAUGGAUGGCCUAGCCGGCCGGAUGUGGUGGAGGGAUUGGAGGUAGGAAGGAAGCUUGUCGCUCUGAGCCGUUGUUGUUUGUGGUCUUUCGGGACUGCAUCUGACGGACGGCUUGAUUACCGUUGCCUGACCGCGCGGUAUCGGAUCAUAUCUCGAGAAGCUGGUCUUAAGACAGGCUGCAAGCGAGCUGCUCGGCGUAGCUCCAAUAAAGCAGACCUGUCGAACACGUUAAUGGCAUUGUUAGAAAGCGUGAUUGUAAAAGGUAAUCACGCAUGUUUGGCCCGACCGCACGGCAAUCGCAAGGUUGUCCGGAUGGUCGGAUUUGGCACCCCGCGAGGCGAAAGCGAGCGGACAAGGUCUGCCAAAUCAAACAAAGACGAUGAGCAUUGGCAAUGAGAACGAUUAAGUGUCGUAAGGGCAUUUGGUGGAUGCCUUGGCAUGCACAGGCGAUGAAGGACGUGAUACGCUGCGAAAAGCCG
RNAcentral lists this transfer RNA (1184 nucleotides) under Rhizobium sp. RNAcentral describes it as "partial contains 16S ribosomal RNA, 16S-23S ribosomal RNA intergenic spacer, and 23S ribosomal RNA". The stretch from base 210 to 283 matches the Rfam family "tRNA". The record is from RNAcentral. Lineage: Bacteria; Pseudomonadati; Pseudomonadota; Alphaproteobacteria; Hyphomicrobiales; Rhizobiaceae.